This 253-nucleotide ribosomal RNA is filed under the name uncultured bacterium. Its description in RNAcentral is "partial 16S ribosomal RNA". It matches the Rfam family "Bacterial small subunit ribosomal RNA", at positions 524 to 776 of the family's 1533-position model. The record is from RNAcentral.
UACAGAGGGUGCGAGCGUUGUCCGGAAUUACUGGGCGUAAAGGGCGCGUAGGCGGCCCGAUAAGUCGGGGGUGAAAUUCAGCGGCUCAACCGCUGGACUGCCUUCGAGACUGUCAGGCUCGAGCACGGUAGAGGCUGGUGGAAUUCCCGGUGUAGCGGUGGAAUGCGUAGAGAUCGGGAAGAACAUCGGUGGCGAAGGCGGCCAGCUGGGCCGUUGCUGACGCUGAGGCGCGACAGCGUGGGGAGCAAACAGG